RNAcentral lists this ribosomal RNA (461 nucleotides) under uncultured bacterium. RNAcentral's name for it is "partial 16S ribosomal RNA". It matches the Rfam family "Bacterial small subunit ribosomal RNA", at positions 338 to 795 of the family's 1533-position model. The record is from RNAcentral.
CCUACGGGAGGCAGCAGUGAGGAAUAUUGGUCAAUGGGCGCGAGCCUGAACCAGCCAAGUCGCGUGAGGGAUGACGGUCCUACGGAUUGUAAACCUCUUUUGCCGGGGAGCAAGCGUGCGUUCGUGAACGCGCGUCGAGAGUACCCGGAGAAAAAGCAUCGGCUAACUCCGUGCCAGCAGCCGCGGUAAUACGUAGGUGGCAAGCGUUGUCCGGAUUUACUGGGUGUAAAGGGCGUGUAGCCGGGUUGACAAGUCAGAUGUGAAAUCCUGCGGCUUAACCGCAGAACUGCAUUUGAAACUGUUGAUCUUGAGUACUGGAGAGGCAGAUGGAAUUCCUAGUGUAGCGGUGAAAUGCGUAGAUAUUAGGAGGAACACCAGUGGCGAAGGCGGUCUGCUGGACAGCAACUGACGGUGAGGCGCGAAAGCGUGGGGAGCAAACAGGAUUAGAUACCCGAGUAGUC